GAUGUAGGGAUUUAACCUGGUUGUGUAGGAUGUAAGGAUUUAACCAGGUUGUGUAGGAUGUAGGGAUUUAACCAGGUUGUGUAGGAUGUAGGGAUUUAACCAGGUUGUGUAGGAUGUAGGGAUUUAACCAGGUUGUGUAGGAUGUAAGGAGUUAACCAGGUUGUGUAGGAUGUAAGGAGUUAACCAGGUUGUGUAGGAUGUAGGGAUUUAACCAGGUUGUGUAGGAUGUAGGGAUUUAACCUGGUUGUGUAGGAUGUAAGGAUUUAACCAGGUUGUGUAGGACGUAGGGAUUUAACCAGGUUGUGUAGGAUGUAAGUAUUUAACCUGGUUGUGUAGGAUGUAAGGAUUUAACCAGGUUGUGUAGGAUGUAGGAAUUUAACCAGGUUGUGUAGGAUGUAAGGAUUUAACCAGGUUGUGUAGGAUGUAGGGAUUUAACCAGGUUGUGUAGGAUGUAGGGAUUUAACCAGGUUGUGUAGGAUGUAGGGAUUUAACCAGGUUGUGUAGGAUGUAAGGAUUUAACCAGGUUGUGUAGGAUGUAAGGAUUUAACCAGAUUGUGUAGGAUGUAGCUUCAGCUGUAUUUAUUGAAAGUGUGAAGUGAAAAAAAUAGGUUUACUCACUUACUGAGUCAAAUUUAAUAAUGUUUUUAAAAAAAAAAACCAGGGUAGCUCCUAAUAAGGAAAACAAGAUGGCUGACAUGACCAUCAAAUUAAUUUAGGUUGCUACUGAUAAAUAAACAAAACUCGGAAUAAUGUGAAAUUCAUAAUAUCAAAAAGCCAAGGCAUUUGAAAC
Long non-coding RNA from Mytilus californianus (California mussel), 790 nucleotides. RefSeq lists it as uncharacterized. Lineage: Eukaryota; Metazoa; Mollusca; Bivalvia; Mytilida; Mytilidae. The record is from RefSeq and is a predicted model, not a curated record. The transcript is spliced from 7 exons.